RNAcentral lists this ribosomal RNA (270 nucleotides) under uncultured prokaryote. RNAcentral's name for it is "partial 16S ribosomal RNA". It matches the Rfam family "Bacterial small subunit ribosomal RNA", at positions 524 to 792 of the family's 1533-position model. The record is from RNAcentral.
GACGAAGGUGGCUAGCGUUGUUCGGUGUCACUGGGCUUAAAGCGUGUGUAGGCGGAAAUGUAAGCGUCUUGUGAAAUCCCCCGGCUUAACCGGGGAAUGGCUGGGCGAACUACGUUUCUUGAGGCAAGUAGGGGUGGCAUGGAACUCUUGGUGGAGCGGUGGAAUGCGUAGAUAUCAAGAGGAACGCCGGUGGUGAAAACGGUGCACUGGGCUUGUCCUGACGCUGAGACACGAAGGCGUGGGGAGCGAACGGGAUUAGAUACCCUCGUA